UACGUAGGGGGCAAGCGUUGUCCGGAAUCAUUGGGCGUAAAGCGCGUGUAGGCGGCCCGGUAAGUCCGCUGUGAAAGUCGGGGGCUCAACCCUCGGAUGCCGGUGGAUACUGUCGGGCUAGAGUGCGGGAGAGGCGAGUGGAAUUCCUGGUGUAGCGGUGAAAUGCGCAGAUAUCAGGAGAAACACCAAUUGCGAAGGCAGCUCGCUGGAACGUAACUGACGCUGAGACGCGAAAGCGUGGGGAGCAAACAGG
This 253-nucleotide ribosomal RNA is filed under the name uncultured bacterium. RNAcentral describes it as "partial 16S ribosomal RNA". It matches the Rfam family "Bacterial small subunit ribosomal RNA", at positions 524 to 776 of the family's 1533-position model. The record is from RNAcentral.